CACUUCCUGGUUUUUAAGGGUGGCAUGCAAGACAAGUGGAGGUAACACAAACAGGCAUAGAUUCAUAUUUUAGGGUAAUGUUGCAGAUUAACAUUUACCCUAAUACAACAAAGACCUUCCGUGCCAUGCAAACUUAUAAAAAGACCUCAAAGCAAAGCUGUGAUUGGUCCUCCCGUUACAGCAGCCUCUCCUAGUAGGCUGAGGUCAUUUGACCAGAGAUGGAAGACAUGGAGAAGCUGCAGAUCAAACAGUAUUCUGUCUGACAGGAGGAGAUAAAGAGACUGUCAGCCUCGCUACAGAACAAAGCAGCCUCUCACCUCUCUGGCCCACAUCAGCUCCCUGACGGCCAGUGAUGCAGCUCUAAAUCAAAAGAGGACCUCAUCUGUGUAUGUAAAGUGGACAGGUGACCUUCAGGGAAGUGGAACAAAGGUCACAGUUCAUCUGCUCUAUAUUUCUCCAGUGCGACAGCAAAUAUGCCGAGGAGUCUUCUGGGAAUUUGGAGAUUAAGAUGGUGCUUCUCAGUGAUGAGGCCCACAGGAGCUAGAGGUCCGUCCUCUAACUGAGCGUAUUCACAGAUUUCAGGGAGAAAAGUUCCUCAAGCUUGUGUGGAUUUUAUCUUUUUAAGAGGAAGCACAGACAUCAGUGGGGAGAGGAGACUGAGCGUGCAUGGCUGCCAUGUUUGUCCCUGGGUGAGAGUGGGUUUGAGGUUGAUGUGUGAAUAGGGGUACAGUUCCAGUGAGCGCUGCUGUCUUAGCAUGACAACAGGAGUGGGCGGGCUGCACUGGCCCUCCUGACACAGUGCCCACCCCUCUCUGUUUGUGAGAGCGCCACUUCAUUGUGCCCAGUCGCCACGGAGGGACAAAACCUAGAGAGCCUACACAGCUGGAGAUGGCAGGGAGCAUUCAGGCUGAAUGCUCGUCUUGUUCAGGCACUUUUCUGCCCUAUGUCUCACAAGAAACCACUUCCUACUCCCCAUCCUGACUCUGACAAGAGACGAGGAGAUGGUUUUUACUGUGUGUUGUCUCGAUUAAGUCUUUGUUGGAGAAUCGGAGAGAUUGGUAUAAGAGAUCUUUUAAUUAGUAAUUAUCAACUCAAUACUGUGAGAAUUAUUCCAUCCUGACCUCAUAUGUUACUUUCUCUUUAGCUAAAAAAAACUUGCUUUGAUUCAUUGGUGAAUUAUAAAUUACAACAAUACUAUUUGAUGUCAACAGUAUUUAUUUAUACCAUCUCUCUCUGUAUGUGAAUCAUGUUCUCCUGUAAAUGGUUAGCUUUUCCUCAGAGAUGAUAAAAUUGAAUGUAAACACUGAGGUAGACGCACAGAUACUUGUCUAAAAAUGGUCUAA
This is a long non-coding RNA of Notolabrus celidotus (New Zealand spotty), 1343 nucleotides long. RefSeq lists it as uncharacterized. The transcript is spliced from 5 exons. The record is from RefSeq and is a predicted model, not a curated record. NCBI's taxonomy places the organism in Eukaryota, Metazoa, Chordata, Actinopteri, Labriformes, Labridae.